RNAcentral lists this ribosomal RNA (864 nucleotides) under Triticum aestivum (bread wheat). RNAcentral describes it as "partial small subunit ribosomal RNA". The record is from RNAcentral. Lineage: Eukaryota; Viridiplantae; Streptophyta; Magnoliopsida; Poales; Poaceae.
AUGGGAAUGUCGGGGGCCGCCAGUGGCGGUGCCGGAUGCGGACGCGGCGAGUACAUGAGGAUCCCGGAGGAUGUGGACGCGAUCAAGGAGGCCGUAAAGGAGGAAGGGGAGUGCCCAAGGUUGCUGCGAUGCCGCGCGAUCCGGUGGUGGGCGAAGGUCGCCGUACUCGGGAUCUUCCUCGCAGGCGCGGCCGCGGCCGCCGUCGUUUUCCUGGGCCCACUCGUCAUCAAGAAGGUGGUUGUGCCGAUUAUUGACUGGCAAUCAAGAACUUUCAGCCGACCAGUUAUUCUUCUAAUAUGUUUUGGUGCAAUCGCUUUAUUCCCAAGUGUCUUGAUACCUUCUUCUCCCUUUAUGUGGAUUGCGGGGAUGACCUUUGGAUAUGGUUAUGGCUUUAUGAUAAUUACAACGGCGAUGAGCAUAGGCAUGUCAUUACCAUUUUGUAUAGGAUCUGCGUUUCAUUCCAGAAUACACAGAUGGUUGGAAAAAUGGCCGAAGAAAGCUGCUUUUGUUAGACUUGCUGGUGAAGGAGAUUGGUUCCAUCAAUUUAGGGCAGUUGCUUUACUUAGGAUUUCUCCAUUUCCAUAUAUAGUUUUUAACUACGCUUCCGUGGCUACAAAUGUCAAAUAUUGUCCAUAUAUAGUUGGUUCAAUGGCGGGAACCAUACAUGAAACCCUCCUUGCAAUUUAUAGUGGGAAGCUCGUUCAAAGCUUGGCUGCGGCGACUAGCCAAGGGUCUUUCUUGUCAGUGGAUCAGAUCAUCUACAAUGGAAUUGGCUUUGCGGUUGCUGCAGUUUCCACUGCUGCAAUAACUAUUUAUGCGAAAAAGGCGCUCCAAAAAUUGCAAGCCGAGGAUGAGCUAUGUUGA